AUGAACGCUGGCGGCGUGCCUAAUCCAUGCAAGUCGAGCGAACAGACGAGGAGCUUGCUCCUCUGACGUUAGCGGCGGACGGGGGAGUAACACGUGGAUAACCUACCUAUAAGACUGGGAUAACUUCGGGAAACCGGAGCUAAUACCGGAUAAUAUAUUGAACCGCAUGGUUCAAUAGUGAAAGACGGUUUUGCUGUCACUUAUAGAUGGAUCCGCGCCGCAUUAGCUAGUUGGUAAGGUAACGGCUUACCAAGGCAACGAUGCGUAGCCGACCUGAGAGGGUGAUCGGCCACACUGGAACUGAGACACGGUCCAGACUCCUACGGGAGGCAGCAGUAGGGAAUCUUCCGCAAUGGGCGAAAGCCUGACGGAGCAACGCCGCGUGAGUGAUGAAGGUCUUCGGAUCGUAAAACUCUGUUAUUAGGGAAGAACAAAUGUGUAAGUAACUAUGCACGUCUUGACGGUACCUAAUCAGAAAGCCACGGCUAACUACGUG
Molecule: ribosomal RNA, 496 nt
Filed under: uncultured bacterium
Lineage: Bacteria
Description: partial 16S ribosomal RNA
Rfam family: Bacterial small subunit ribosomal RNA
Source: RNAcentral